RNAcentral lists this ribosomal RNA (253 nucleotides) under uncultured bacterium. Its description in RNAcentral is "partial 16S ribosomal RNA". It matches the Rfam family "Bacterial small subunit ribosomal RNA", at positions 524 to 776 of the family's 1533-position model. The record is from RNAcentral.
GACAGAGGUGCCGAGCGUUAGGCGGAAUCACUGGGCUUAAAGCGUGUGUAGGCGGAUCUGUAAGUACCUUGUGAAAUCCCACGGCUCAACCGUGGAACUGCUUGGUAUACUGCGGGUCUUGAGCCACCUAGGGGCAAGUGGAACAAACGGUGGAGCGGUGAAAUGCGUAGAUAUCGUUUGGAACGCCAAUGGUGAAAACAACUCGCUGGGGGUGCACUGACACUGAGACACGAAAGCCAGGGGAGCGAACGGG